GUCUCAAGGCCGCGAGAAGAGUCAAAAGGAGGAAGGAAAGAAACCAAACCCGUUGACGGAGAAGAGAUCAGUAAAAGAAAGCGACACAUACACAAAUCUUUCACAAAGGAGACCCCUUUGAUUGUUUGGUUUAGACCCGAAACUCAUCAUCUUCUUCAAUUCAUCCUCUUCCUCCUCUCACUAGGUUCAAGUCUUUAUAGUCCUCAGUUUUGAUUUCAUCAUUCGCAGACAUCGAUCUUACCCCGUUCUUAGCUUUUGACUUCUUAAAUUUCUAGUUUCGUGUCCUUUCUUUUCUUCUGAUAUGCUUAUAGUUCAUUCUUGAUUUAUCCUUUUCAUAAUUUCUUUCGUGGUUUGCUUCAUUCUUUAGAAUCACUGCAAAGCAAGGAUACCCAUUUGGGUUUUGCUGCAUUUUUCACAAUCUCUUUGUAAUUCUCUCAUCUGGGUUUUCUUCAUUUGCUCUUUCUAUAUAUACAUUCAAGAAGAUAUCUUUAAAGGGGUUUCUUGGAUAUAUCCUUUCUGAGAAUCAGCUAUGGGGGAUUUGGGCGACUCAGCGACAGUGCAAAUAACAGGCAAGAUCAUGGUGCUUGCCGUAAUGAUUUUAUUUAUGGUGGUGGUUUUUGUUCUCUUGCUUCAUCUCUAUGCAAAAUGGUUUUGGUGGCGCGUUGAAGAGCCUAAUCCUCCGGCACGUUCUCGUCGGAACCGCCGCCGUUUCGUUUUUACCCCUGGUCAGGACCCAGUGCGGAGAGGGCUUGACCUCUCAGUCCUCAGAUCCCUACCAGUUGUAAUUUUCCAAUCCAAAGACUUCAAAGAUGGGUUGGAAUGCGCAGUUUGCUUAUCUGAAGUUGCAGAAGGGGAAAAAACGAGGUUGUUGCCCAAAUGCAACCAUGGAUUCCAUGUUGAUUGUAUUGACAUGUGGUUUCAAUCCCACUCCACUUGCCCUCUCUGUAGAAACUCAGUAGCGCCAUUACCCGAAUGCUCCAGCUUCGACAGUAAUGAUUUGCAAGAUAAUAUUCAUUCUCCAGAGGAAAUUUUGGCUUCUGGGUAUUCGACAGAAUCUCCAAAUUUUCCCACAAAUGUGUUGUUUUGGGGGGACCAGACUCAAGUAAGCACUGGCGGCGGAGGCGGCGGCUUGGAAGAAGGAACUUCCACUCAAGCACCUUCUUCUUCUUCUUCUUCCUCU
This 1180-nucleotide unclassified non-coding RNA is filed under the name Hevea brasiliensis (rubber tree). Lineage: Eukaryota; Viridiplantae; Streptophyta; Magnoliopsida; Malpighiales; Euphorbiaceae. The record is from RNAcentral.